Homo sapiens (human) is the source of this 1864-nucleotide long non-coding RNA. NCBI's taxonomy places the organism in Eukaryota, Metazoa, Chordata, Mammalia, Primates, Hominidae. The record is from Ensembl.
GAUUAUUGAAUAAUAAAAUACAGUUUUGAAAAAAAUGGAUGAAGAACCUGAAAGAACUAAGCGAUGGGAAGGAGGCUAUGAAAGAACAUGGGAGAUUCUUAAAGAAGAUGAAUCUGGAUCACUUAAAGCUACAAUAGAAGACAUUCUAUUCAAGGCAAAGAGAAAAAGAUGCGCCACCUUUAUGUGGUAGUAGAUGGAUCAAGAACAAUGGAAGACCAAGAUUUAAAGCCUAAUAGACUGACGUGUACUUUAAAGUUGUUGGAAUACUUUGUAGAGGAAUAUUUUGAUCAAAAUCCUAUUAGUCAGAUUGGAAUAAUUGUAACUAAGAGUAAAAGAGCUGAAAAAUUGACUGAACUUUCAGAUGGGAGUCUUGCUCUGUCGCCAGGCUAGAGUGCAGUGGCACAAUUUCGGAUCACUGCAAAGUCCGCCUCACGGGUUCAAGCGAUUCCCUGCCUCAGCCUCCUGAGUAGCUGGAACUACAGAUGCCCGCCACCACGCCCUGCUAAUUUUUUGUAUUUUAGUAGAUACGGGGUUUCACCAUGUUGGCCAGUAUGGUCUCAAUCUCUUGACCUUGUGAUCAGCCCGCCUCAGCCUCUCAAAGUGCUGGGAUUACAGGCUUGAGCCACCGCAUCCGGCCUUAUCCUGAAAAUAUUAAAAUACAGUUAUUGUAAUCAUUUAUAAAAUCCAGUUAAUCUUAAAAUUAAAUUCUUAUAAAGUUAAGCAUCUAAUUUAAAAGGGAAAAAGUAUAAAAAUUAAACUGUAGCUAUUGCUAAUGAAUCAAUUUUUCUGCUUCCAUGACAUACCUAACUGAAUUUUAGUUUCAAAACGUAGUAAUGGCAUUUUUUAUUUGCUUUGGUAUAUAUGCUGUUACAAAUUUGCAUCACUGAUUCUAUUUUAUUUUCUGUGAAAUACACUCUCCCUUAAAUCUGGUUUUCAACCUUUUAUCCUUGCCGGCACACAUAAGGGAAAUGACAUACUUUCUUCAUUAGUAGUUUUUCAUUAAAUGCAGUGAGGAGUGAAAUGUACAUUGGCCUGGAGUGAUUCAAGAAACUCAGUUGUGAGUAACCAAAAGAAUGUCACACUAGCUUAAGUGCAGAAGGAAAAUUUUGGGCUAUGUUCAAAGGUGGGCCAAUUCCAUAUAUAGUUGCUGCAUAUGUUGGGGUCCUGGCUUUGUCUGGCUUCAUUCUCUGAUAGAUUUUCUGGAAGUUGAAAAGAUGUCUCUUAAUUGUCCCAGUUCUACAUUGUACCCGUAGCCUAUAGCUUCAGCACACGUCUAGGGAGAACUCUGAUUGGCCUGAGUUACGAUCUGCCCAUCCAUGAACAAAGUGGCCAGGAAAUGAAGUAUUUUGUUUGUACGCUUCGAUUGCCUGCUGAUGCCCAGAGCAGGAUAGAAGUAGGGUCAGCACCACAUGAACUAAGCAGGAUUAUUAUAUAGUGGAAGAAGGAUGGUUCCUCCAAGGUAGGAAUAUAAGGUCAAUAUUUUCCUCUCACUUUACCCACCCCGAGUUACCAGCAGUUUUCUAUUGCUUCUUUUUUUUUUUUUUUGAGAAGGAGUCUCUCACUCUGUCGCCCAGGCGGUGCUGUCUUGGCUCACUGCAACCUCCGCCUCCCGGGUUCAAGAGAUUCUCCUGCCUCCCCCUCCCGAGUAGCUGGGAUUACAGGUGUGCGCUGCCACACCUGGCUAAUUUUAUUUUUAGUAGAGACAGGAUUUCACCAUGCUGGCCAGGCUGAUCUCGAACUCCUGACCUCAGGUGAUCUACCCACCUCAGCCUCCCAAAGUGUUGGGAUUACAGGCAUCAGCCACCAUGCCCGGCCCCAGCAGUUUUCUAUGGAUGUUAGUGAAGUCAUGUAUAAAGAUGAAAAA